UUCUCCAUGCCUCCUCUCCUCCCUCAGUUCUCUUUCAUGCCCAAGGGUUGGGAGUCCUCCUUUCCACACGCCAAGAGGUAGUGGAGAUUUAUCUUCAAAAGCGAAGAACGAGGAGGAGAAAAAGAAGAAGGCUGCAGAUCAAGGAGUUGAUCCCGCAGUCCAGAUCAUGGUGUUAAUCUAAGAUCUCAAGGUUAAGAUUCU
RNAcentral lists this long non-coding RNA (201 nucleotides) under Elaeis guineensis (African oil palm). RNAcentral describes it as "long non-coding RNA (EGUI_LNC036463)". The record is from RNAcentral. Lineage: Eukaryota; Viridiplantae; Streptophyta; Magnoliopsida; Arecales; Arecaceae.